This 316-nucleotide ribosomal RNA is filed under the name uncultured Chloroflexota bacterium. RNAcentral's name for it is "bacterial SSU rRNA". It matches the Rfam family "Bacterial small subunit ribosomal RNA", at positions 28 to 351 of the family's 1533-position model. The record is from RNAcentral. Lineage: Bacteria; Bacillati; Chloroflexota.
GAUGAACGCUGGCGGCGUGCUAAUCCAUGCAAGUCGAACGGAGUAUCAGCAAUGGUACUUAGUGGCGAACGGGUGAGUAACGCGUUGGUGACCUGCCCCGAAGCGGGGGAUAACAGACCGAAAGGUUUGCUAAUACCGCAUAAUUUGUCAGAGUUAGAGAGCUUGACAAGAAACCGAAAGGCACUUUGGGAGGGCCUGCGUCCCAUCAGCUAGUUGGUAAGGUAACGGCUUACCAAGGCGAUGACGGGUAGGGGACCUGAGAGGGUGGCCCCCCACAAUGGAACUGAAACACGGUCCAUACACCUACGGGUGGCUG